GACUACCACCUUAAGAGAAAUGCUGAAGUCCUCUACAGUUCAAGUAAGUAUUUUUGGGAUUGUAUGUGCAUGUUUCGGAACUCUAAGUGUAUAAACAUUCACUCACAUAAUGUACAUGACUGAGCUGGUCAGAGCUGCUUGUGGGUGUAUCCAUCCUGACAGUCUGUGUCUUCUUGCAGUGCAAAGGCAAUUGCAGGCCAAAGACUAACAGCUGAAGGAGGAAUCAAGGGAGCUGAACUAUUGAGCAGGGCCAAAUAAUUUAAUCUGUUCCCCUUUUCAGUUGCUGCCACCUUGUUCAGCUGGACUGUAAACUGAGGCAACUCUCUUCUAUCAUGCUGUUCUAUAUCACAAGAUCCCUGUCUCAGGCUGGGGCUCUGGCACAAUCACAUUCCAGAUAAUUAAAUAUACCUCAUACUUUAAAAUAGUUUUCAAUCAAAUUUUGUGUUCAGGAAUUUUUUUUUUAAAUUCUGCAUCUGUAUGUGGGAUAAUAAUUACUUACAAUUAUACUUAAUACAUUAUAUUACUCCUCCAGAACAUAAAGGGUCACAGAGCCUAUUUAGCUGUUUUAUAUAAGCUUUUUGUGAGAAUUUUAAAGAAAGGAUGAUUUGGAAUGUAAAUAAGGUGGGAGAUUUUGAUAUGAGGUCAGCUGUGUUGCAUGGGCAGAGGUGUAAGUGAAACUCCAGUGAUACCUAUUACAGAUGAGCCAUCUCUGUUAACAAACCAUCUCCUUUUAUCUUCCUUCCCUUCCUCUACUCCAGAGUAAAAUGGAAUUUGAACUUCAGAAAAGACCAUGGUUCUUCUGAGGGUUAGGUCAAAUCUGUAAGAACAAAAAUAGUCUUUAUUAACACAUACCAGAGCUACUGAACAUCAGUAGCUUUUGAUUAUUUUAAUAGGACAGUAAGGAUCAAGUACUUUCCCUACACAGCUGCAGUGGUGGCCUGAGAUAAACCAAACACUCUGUACUUUGGCUAAGGUGCUCAUGGUGUUGGUAGUUCUUUUGAGACCUGAAGGCCUGAAAAUACCCAGACAUUGCAACAUGUCCUGUGCAGGGCAGUCAUUUGGAAGACCUGGAUUGGCUGCUACAGUCCUGCACCAACACAGGUGAGAAGGGCUGAGCAGCAAUUAAAAUGCAGAAUUUCUCACCACAGAUCAUAGAAGGGAGCCAGUUAUGUUGCACCACUGUCUACUUACAGGUAGAUGAAAUCUUCCACAUUUGGACUCUGCCGAGUGAAUUAGAACUUCUUUUUUCCAUUUUACAAUGGUGUUUUCAUUUUUUUUUUCAUUUACAAUGAAAUGUAAAUUAUUCCUAGUGUAAGGCAACUCCAACUCUACCAGGCACCUUUGUCUAAAGCUGGUACAGUAGAGACUCUUGUUUUUGAAAAGCAAACAAAUGUAACUUAUUCUGUGGAAGUAAAAAUGUUUUCUCCAGCCAGCUGAUAAACAAAGUGCUGAUUCAAGGGGUCUGCAGAAGAUGAUUAGAGAAGAAUAUAUGGAUCACAUUAAACCAGUAGAAGAUACAUUGGAUCCGAACUAAGGUUGGUGGAAUAGGCUUGAAAUUCAGGUUUUCUGAAGGAGGAUAUUCAGAAUCAAACAGACAGUAAAGAACUGAUGUGUUUAUUGCCCACUGUUCUUCUUAUGGCAUACAUGAUCAAUGGAAGGUCAUGAAUGUUACUAACCUUCAGGUGAAGAGUCAUUGAAGAAGGCUUCCUCUGCAGAUGUUUUGACUGUAUGAACCCAAAAGCCAGCAUUGUUUUCUUCCCUGUUAAUAUGGACUGGAUUCUUGUGGAAAAGAGGAUUGCAGUGUUCAGAAGUACAAGGUACACAGACCGAGAGAGGAGCAGGAUACACCUCUGUGAAUCUCACAUUUCAUAGGCAUGGCAUAAUGAAGGAGAAAAUAAAAAGGGUUGCAGGCUCGUGCAGACACAAGACAUAUGAAAUCUUGUACAGUGGUGUGUGUCUGAGAAUCUGCUAGAAAUUCAUGAACAGCAAUAAGAAACUAAUUUUCAUUCAACUAUGAAUAGUAACAUCUGUAGCCCUGUUAUGUAGCCGGGCUGGUUUUAGUCUUUAGUCCAGUCUGGUUUGGAUAUGGUGCUGGGAAGAGAAGGAGAAAAGAAAAGAAUUUCCACCUAUCUAGCAUCUGUGGAAACUUUGGAAAUGCCUGAGCAGACAAGCAUGUUGUCCUGAGAUAUUGCUGGGUGUGCAAUAGCUAAUGAAAACUUUACCUCAUGUCUUUAAAAAUCUACAGAUAUUAUUGUUUCCAAUCCAAACAUCUACAGGAAAGACUUGCAAAACUGUCAAUGUCUCAUUCAGUUAAUAGGCAGAAGAAGAGAAAAGUAACUUAUUCUGAGCUAACAUCCUCACCCUCUUUGUAUUUCUCCUCAUUUCAAGCACGUCACCUAGUGAUGAAAGUGUGGCUUAUAUCUGAAUAAAAGAGUUGCAGAAGAGAGCUUUGGAAGACAAUGAACUUAGACAUACUCAAGAUGUUCACACAACAUUGGCCUUUAUUUCUCCAUCUUUUAGAUUUCAGACUAAUAGGAGGUGGUUCUCCUAAAACACCGCAGCAUUCAGCUCGCUGGAGACCGGGGCAAAACCAUAGCAAGAUGUGCUCUUUCUCCUUGGUGAUGAAGAGCAUUUUCCAUAAAUCUCCCACUGUCCCUCAUCCGUUAUGUGCACGUGUCACAAAAAUUAGGGGCUGAAAUAUCUUUUCAUUCAACAGAGGAUUUUUCAGAGCAAAGCCUUAAACAUCCAAAUCCAUUGCAUCCUGUGAAGGAUAUGCAAUAAGAUAGUUCAAUUCAAAACAGAACAGGUGUGAAAAGAAUGGGAAGAACCAGGAUGUGAGAGAUAGCUGGCUCACAGUCCAAGCUGUUGCAGUUUGAGUCCAAUCUUUGCUGUUGAUAGUUCUUUUACAGAGUCCUUCAUUAAUAAUCAUCUCCAUUUGGAACAAAAGAUGGAAGGAAAAAAGAGGAGAAGGAGAAGGAGAAGGAGAAGGAGAAGGAGAAGGAGAAGGAGAAGGAGAAGGAGAAGGAGAAGGAGAAGGAGAAGGAGAAGGAGAAGGAGAAGGAGAAGGAGAAGGAGAAGGAGAAGGAGGGGAAAAGGAAGUCAUUGUCGAGACCUGUCACUGCAGAAAGCCAAAAUACUAGAUCAAACGUUGCAGAAGAGGUUAUCAAAACCACAGUGAUCUUCUUGGUGGUAGAAGAUGAAGAAGCUUUCCUGCACUUCAGCUGAUAUGUGAUCAGGAAAUCUGGAGUGAGCAGAUUUGCAUAAACUGACUCCAUGCACUGAGAAAAGAGGGUCUUCAGGGCUUCAGCUGCCCCAGAAAGUGGAACAAAAAAGCAUGCUGAAAACAUUGAAAGAGAGGACUGGAGGAGAGAGAUGAAAGGAGAUGAGUAGACGUGGGAAAAAGAGACAGAACAAGCACAGCUGUAGAGUCAGAACAGACUACAUAUUUAUUUUCUUUAAAAAGGCAUGUGAAGCUCCUCUGGGAAAGCUCUGGCCACUGCCCAAGACAGCAUGCUAGAGUAGAUGGAGUGACAGCCUAAUGCAUUUAAACAACAUCUAGAGCACUUUUAUGAAGUCCAGUCUGGCUCUGGAGGAAGAGGAACUGUUUAGAAACAGCUGGUUGUUGAUGAGCCAAACCAAACCUGGACACGGUGUGAUGUGACUGUAUUUUUGCUGAAAGCUCACCAGGAUGCUGUGUCAGACAAAUGUGCUCCUACAGUACAGGUGGCAAGAAAGGCUCGGCCAUAUGGAGAACCAUUGCUGUUGCUGUCACUGCCAAAAGCUGUACGAGAUGCCCCACGAAACAGAAAGAGGAUUUACUGCAGUUGAACAGGCUUGUUAACUGUGUUGGUCAUAAGAUAAUGGAAGCCAAAAUGUUUUUCCUUCAUUAGAAAAAGCAGAAAGAGUGAUGUUAGCUAAACAGUGGUCAGUGUUAAGUGAAUAAUGCAGUUAUGUAGGAAAGGAGCUACAGGAAGGCCUUAUGAGUAUUGCAGCCAAGAUAAAGCAAGUAUUUGCCACUCUGUCCCCUCUAUCUUCUCCGAGCAUAUCAGCAGUGAGAUCGUGCCUAUUGUCACUCUUACCAUGAGUUAUGUGAUUCUUUCACUUUUGAACUGGGCUCUGGCCUGUGAUGCCCUCUGUGUCACUCACAGUUACGCAGCAACUGAGUGAAUUUGUAUCUGCAGACACAGCAAUGAAGACAGUGACCUGCCAGCUUUUCAAUUCUACCCCCAAUCACAGAGGGAUUUAUUUCCUGAUAGGAGUGUAAAAUUUAGAGAAAAUAGAGUUUAAGGCUUCAGAUAGUUGCUGGGCAUCAUCCUGUCUAAACUUAACCGCAGACCAAAGACAGCCCAGAUAGGCAUAGACACCUCAGACAUCCCUCACACAAUACCACUGCACAGCAGUUAACUUUCAUCACAGGGACAAAAAACAUUUUUAAACCUUUCAGAACAUGUGGAGGAACUUUCCUGCUCAGACAAAGCUGUCUAGGGAUCUGAAGCAAAGUUGGGAUAAUCCUCCUCAGAGCCCCUGACUGCCAUUUCCUCAUGCCCAUGCUGGUGCCCUGAGGGGAGGUGGCUUGCCAGGAGCAGGCAGGAAUGCCUCAGCCUCUCCAUGUACCUGUGAGGAGUUUUCAGACUGACAGAUGUAACCAGCUUAUUGCUUAGGCCCUGACUGAGCGUGUUGGCUUAGCCCAAGUCGGCUGCUGCUCUUCCAAAGAAAUGUUUGCUGAUGACUUGCUUGCUAUGGCAUCUCAAAAGGUCAUCUAGAUUGAGUCCACUACACCUAAAUUAGCCCUGAAAGGCAUUCAUGCAGCCUGUUCUUAAGAGCCACCAGAAGUAAAGAUUUCACAUCCCCUUCAGCAAUUGAUUUCUCUGCUAACCUCUCUCCACUGUUUCCCAAAGGUAUUUUAAAGUGCUUAAUCUAAAUCCUUAAGCCAAUAAUAGCCACAUGGACAGGAUCCAAAAAUAGCACUGACAAUGGCUGUUAACACCAGUUCAGUAACCUUAAGCUCCAGAUUGUGUGCAUACAUCUGUUUGAUGUCACACCAGACUGGUAUAUAGGCAAAGUCAUGCCAUGGCUUUCCAGGGUAAGUCCAGCUUCCCAUCACUCCUAUGUCUGCCUAGAAGUUCGUUGGGUAAGGGCAUGGACAGAAAAACUUAUUUGCCUACAGCAAUCCACACAGGAAGUUCAGGAUUGUGCUGCAGCCUAAGGCAGUGAUAAAGAGAUGUCUUGGGCAUGUUCUGGGGCUGCACCAAACAGCAGAAGGAAAAGACCUUUUUUUUGCCAGGAAGGCUGGCUGCUCUGAGGAGAAUAGUCCUGAGGUGGGAAUGUUGCUUCUGGUGAUUGAAUUAAUUCCCCUAGAGCUCAUUAGCAUGUCUCCACAAGGCAUUGUGUGUGACCAUAUGGAUGGAGAGGUUUAGCCAUGUCCGUGUUUUCUGAAUCAGCAACCAGCCCAGUCGUUUAAUGUAAGAAAACUAAUUUCCUUGCUAGACAUAAACACAAUCCAAAUCUGGUUAUAAUUAACUAGGUGAAGUCUGAGCUCUUUUCUUCACCUCCAUGGCAUUUUUCUGUAUUUCCCAUAGAACGGCUCAAGUGCGGUUCCUCUCCCAAGCAUUUCUGGGCUGGCAGUCAUGCAAGAGACUUUCCAGUGCUUUUCAAAGCUUCCCUCUUCCGUCUGUUUGGGAAUGUAAGGAAAACAGUCUGCCUCAAAAUAGACUUCUUUCCACUCUGACCAAAACCACUACCUGUUGGGAAGAUGGCAUUUCCCCUGCCCAGCCUAAGAAUGGCUUUCUGAGAACUCUGCUUUUUCAGUGAUUUGGAUUCAGCUGGGCUGAAGCACAGCACAGGGACAAUAUUUAAUUCUUCCUUGCUAUUUUCUCUAGCUUUGAUUCACUGCAAUGUAAUUUUGGAAGCUUAAUCUAGUUUCAUCAGCCAUGACUGGAGCUAGAAAACAGGGCAAGUUAUCAGAAGAUACAGAAGGGAGAUAACUAAAGGAAAUUUCAUUUGGCACAAAUUAUCAGGAAAUCCUCCCAAAAUCAAGCCGUCAAGGAAAUGAUGGAAGUACAUGAUUUCACUAAAAAUGAACCCACAUGUAUACCACAACAUACACAAACAUAAAUAAAAGGCCCCUUUCCAUCCUCUGGAAGUCAGUUUGGUUUUUUUCUGGGGCUACUACAAAUAUUUUAAUGUAUCCUGGCUCCAGUCCAAUCCUCUGCAAUUGCUGGCAGCCAUUUUAUAUCAUCCCUAUCAUAAGUUUGACUGUCACAGCAGUUUGUGCUUUGAUUUUUACUAUGUCCAGACCCAUACUCAGCUGUCUGGGGCAGUUCAGGUUCUGCACCCAGGUCUAAGCACAACAGCUGCCCCAAACAGGUCUUUAUAAUUUCCUGCUUGUGCAAUGGGAGUCCCUGGCAGCUGCCUCUGGAGGAGGGCUGUGCUCCCCUGGAGCAGUUUGUGCUGCCAGCAGCUCCUGCAGCUCAAGCAGAGGCAGUUCACGCCUGGGGACCAAAAGCAGUGUGGCUGGGGGAAUUUGGGGUGUAAGGUGGCAAUUACCAGUAAUAAGUCUGCAACAGGAUUGCCUGUGGGCAUUGCAAGUGCCUAAUGUUUUUGCAGCCCUCAGAGAGCUGAGUGCCCCCAGCCCUCCCCACAGAAGCCAAGGUCACCUUGUAGGUGUUUUGUGGGGAUCAGGCCCCACAGGCUCUGACUCCAUCUCCAGUUUGUCUGGAGGUGCAUAACUUCUGGCACACCUCGGUGCACCUAAUUGUUGUCACUAUUAGAGCACAAGGACAAAUUGCUGACAAAGAGGGCUGCAUAAAAAUGCACUUGGGUGCAAUAGCUGUGGCAGUAUUUCAAACAGCUUCCCAUUGUACACCUCUGAGAGAGAGGCAAGCACGUGUGCUUUAUAAUUGUGCAACCAUAUCGCUGAAUAUGGAUAGCACUUACAAGUGCUGUGUAACAUGUUGACAACUCUGCACACAUAAAUAUGUAUUGUUUUUCAGGCACAACCCAGGCAAAGGGAAAAACUGAGUUUUUAUUUUAGUCUCUUCUGCAAUGUCUGAGCUAACUGCUACCAGUUUCCUUUAUAAAGGAAAAUGGGAGUCCUAAUGACUUAACAAGCAAUUCUAGACAAAGGACCUCAGAUCUCCAAGUUCAGCUCCCUAAAAAAUUUCUAUCUAUGGCUCAGAUCCUAUCAAUUAUUCCUUUUUAUUAUCACUAUUAUUUUUUAUUUUUUCUACAGCUAUUAUCUCUUGAACUUCCUAGUUUGUUCUCUACCUCUUUUGGGUGACUUUUCAAAAUUCAGAUCAUUCCACAGCAAAAGCUUUAACUGUCCUUUAUACCAAGAUUCUUCUUUCUUUUUGACAUCAAGACUUUUCUCUUUGAUAACUUCAAAUGUUUCUUCCUCUCUGCAGUGAGUACUUAAUUCUCACCAAUGGUUUUGCUUUUCUAUCAAACAUAGUAGUAACACCCUGAAUGUUUUUAAUCUGCUUUGGCCAUUGAGUGCUUUCUUUGCCUUUUUUUUUUUUAAACUUUCUACUGUAUUUAUGUGAAAACCACCACUAUUUG
This is a long non-coding RNA of Passer domesticus (house sparrow), 7557 nucleotides long. RefSeq lists it as uncharacterized. Lineage: Eukaryota; Metazoa; Chordata; Aves; Passeriformes; Passeridae. The transcript is spliced from 10 exons. The record is from RefSeq and is a predicted model, not a curated record.